Molecule: ribosomal RNA, 446 nt
Filed under: uncultured bacterium
Lineage: Bacteria
Description: partial 16S ribosomal RNA
Rfam family: Bacterial small subunit ribosomal RNA
Source: RNAcentral
CCUACGGGUGGCAGCAGUCGAGACUCAUUCACAAUGGGGGAAACCCUGAUGGUGCGACGCCACGUGGGGGAAUGAAGGUCUUCGGAUUGUAAACCCCUGUCAUGUGGGAGCAAAUUAAAAAGAUAGUACCACAAGAGGAAGAGACGGCUAACUCUGUGCCAGCAGCCGCGGUAAUACAGAGGUCUCAAGCGUUGUUCGGAAUCACUGGGCUUAAAGCGUGCGGAGGCUGUUUCGUAAGUCGUGUGUGAAAGGCGCGCGCUCAACCCGCGGACGGCACAUGAUACUGCGAGACUAGAGUAAUGGAGGGGGAACCGGAAUUCUCGGUGUAGCAGUGAAAUGCGUAGAUAUCGAGAGGAACACUCGUGGCGAAGGCGGGUUCCUGGACAUUAACUGACGCUGAGGCACGAAGGCCAGGGGAGCGAAAGGGAUUAGAUACCCGUGUAGUC